RNAcentral lists this ribosomal RNA (229 nucleotides) under uncultured bacterium. RNAcentral describes it as "partial 16S ribosomal RNA". It matches the Rfam family "Bacterial small subunit ribosomal RNA", at positions 568 to 796 of the family's 1533-position model. The record is from RNAcentral.
UACGUAGGCGGAAAAUUAAGUCAGUGGUGAAAUCCUGCAGCUUAACUGUAGAACUAUCAUUGAUACUGGUUUUCUUGAAUACAGUUGAGGUAAGCGGAAUGUGUAAUGUAGCGGUGAAAUGCUUAGAUAUUACACAGAACACCGAUUGCGAAGGCAGCUUACUAAACUGUUAUUGACGCUGAGGUACGAAAGCGUGGGGAGCGAACAGGAUUAGAUACCCUGGUAGUCC